This is a ribosomal RNA of Glarea lozoyensis 74030, 89 nucleotides long. It matches the Rfam family "Eukaryotic large subunit ribosomal RNA", at positions 2668 to 2760 of the family's 3401-position model. The record is from Rfam. NCBI's taxonomy places the organism in Eukaryota, Fungi, Ascomycota, Leotiomycetes, Helotiales, Helotiaceae.
GUGGAUGGAGAAUAGAAAUCUCCAGAAGAACAAAAGGGUAAAAGUCCUCCUAAUUUUGAUUUUCAGUGUGAAUACAAACCACGAAAGCG